GAGAAAUGAGUGGCGAGCACAGAAGAAGUGGUUGCCCCAAGGUCCAAUUUUGGCAAUUUGGAAAUCAGCACAUGUGCCUAGAGAGUUUUCUGGAAAUGAUUUCCAGCUGCUCCACACUGGGACUUCACCUUCACAAUGAGAGCUGCAUGCGUGAUAGAAGACACAACCACCCCUGCCUGUUAGAGGAGGACAGUUCCUCAGUCAAAGGAAUGAGCAGUGGAGACCUCUCACUAGAACACCCAAACAAGCUUUCGAGUUUCAUUUAAAGAUGCAAAUAUGCAUCCAAAUAGAAAAACAUGACUGUCAAUGUAAUUUAUAUAUGUAUAUAUCUAAUAUCUAUAUAUCUUUCCUAUAUAUUUGUAUCUAUAAAUGUAAAUAGCUUUUUUCAUUUUGCCAACACUUCUUUAAAUAAUGUAAAAUUUUUGUUAGAAAUGCUAGAUUAGGCCGGGCUCACGCCUGUAAUCACAGAGCUCGGGAGGCUGAGGUGGUAGGAUGAUUGCGAGUUCGAGACCAGCCUGGGCUACAAAGUGAGCUCAAGGCCAGCCUGAACUGCACAGCAAGACCUCAUCUCUAAAAAGACAAAAAAAGAAAAAAAAAAAAAGAAAGAAAGAAA
This is a long non-coding RNA of Cavia porcellus (domestic guinea pig), 613 nucleotides long. RefSeq lists it as uncharacterized. The transcript is spliced from 2 exons. The record is from RefSeq and is a predicted model, not a curated record. NCBI's taxonomy places the organism in Eukaryota, Metazoa, Chordata, Mammalia, Rodentia, Caviidae.